GCAUGAAGUUGGAAUCGCUAGUAAUCGCGGAUCAGCAUGCCGCGGUGAAUACGUUCCCGGGCCUUGUACACACCGCCCGUCACACCAUGAGAGUCGGGAACACCCGAAGUCCGUAGUCUGACCGCAAGGGGGACGCGGCCGAAGGUGGGUUCGAUAAUUGGGGUGAAGUCGUAACAAGGUAAC
Molecule: ribosomal RNA, 183 nt
Filed under: uncultured bacterium
Lineage: Bacteria
Description: partial 16S ribosomal RNA
Rfam family: Bacterial small subunit ribosomal RNA
Source: RNAcentral